AACCAACCUUGGAUUCCUGGGAUAAGGUCAGCUUGGGCGUGGGUGACAUGUUCUCAUGAUCACUGCUAGAUUCAACCUGAAGUUCUUUUGUGCAGGCUUUUUGCUCUGGAGAUCUUGAGCAUCAGCCCGCAGUUUCCUUCACAGUUUGAGUGGGGCCUUCUAUUUUUUGGAUAUUUGUUAGGACAACCUCCUUGGGACUUAGGGGAAGAUUUGGCUGCUGAAUGAAUUGUUCAUGUUUGUAGAACUAUGCAUGUUUUUCCUUAAAUCAGUUUUGUAAAUUACAUAUUCUAACAAAUCUUCAGAUAAACUGAAAAGUUUUAAAAAACAUGACAUUUUGUAUAAUACUCGUUAAUGGUUCCAACGUGGCUGGUCCCCACUCAUUCCUGAGUGGCUAUUUCUGCCAGCAUCUUUCUCGCCCCCACUCCCCUCAGAUUUCUUCAGUCAUACCAGAUGUGUGCUUUUAUUAGGGCAAACCAUUAUCACUGCCAAUGUCCGAUGUAGAAUGACAGUCUACAAAAAACAGUGAUAUGAAUAGUUCCAGUUGGUUUGUCUUUUUGAAGAACUGACUGAUUGUUUCUACAUCGAUUUUCUUUUGCUAAUUUAGCUAUGGAUGUUUCUCACGCCCUCACGCCUCAGUGUGUGUGUUCGUGAGCAUCAAUUUCUUAAUUUCCCUAUUCCACUAGUGAAAGAUUCUCUCCACUGAGAGGAAAAACAAAAGCUGCUUUCCAGGAAGCCAUCAGGGCGAUCCCACAAGAGCAGAGCUGCGCAAGCCCAGGCUGGGCGCUGGCGACACUGCGCUGUUGUUCUCAGCCUCCCCCAGGCUUCCAGGCCAGGUUCAGCAUGGUUGCCAGGAAUCUUACUUCUCAUUUCACCCCAUGAUUCUGCUGUCCCACCUGCCCAUGUGACAGGGUGUUGUUAAUCUUUUUUUAAAAUCUUUUAUAGGAAAAAAAUUGGCCACUGAUGAUUCCAUUUGUGUGCUGGGAAUAAGCAAAAGAAACGUUAUUUUUCAACCUGUGGCAGAGCUGAAGAAGCAAACAGAUUGAAUAAGUCGGGGUCUUACAGCCUUAGCAAACCUAGCCAAUGCACAGGAUUCCCAAAGAACAGUGGUGGCUCAAGCUGCGGCCCCUCAUGAACAUCCUGGUCAAGUACAAGGCCAGCUUUGAAGUGUCGAACUCAGGCCAGCUAGAGCACAUGCAGCCCUGGAGCAUCUGACCCAGUCCUGCCUGCAUGUGCCUGCAACCUGGACUCACCGUGGACCAUCUGUUUUUGUAACACUUAAGUUAUUUAUCAGCACUUUAUGCAAGUAUUAUUGAUACUAAUACCUAACCAGCAAGCACCUGUCACCGCCCGUGUGCCCCACCAGCUCCAGUGCGUGCUGUCUGUGGACUGUGUCUCAUGCUUUCAGAUGUGCGUAUUAAACGUUUGCCUACAACUC
RNAcentral lists this long non-coding RNA (1435 nucleotides) under Macaca mulatta (Rhesus monkey). RNAcentral's name for it is "lncRNA (ENSMMUG00000064701.1)". The record is from RNAcentral. Lineage: Eukaryota; Metazoa; Chordata; Mammalia; Primates; Cercopithecidae.